AACGUAGGAGACAAACGUUAUCCGGAGUUACUGGGCGUAAAGGGCGUGCAGGCGGCUUGUUAAGUUUGGCGUGAAAGCUCCUGGCUAAACCGGGAGAGGUCGUCGGAGACUGGCAGGCUCGAGGGUGAUAGAGGCGGGUGGAAUUCCGGGUGUAGUGGUGAAAUGCGUAGAGAUCGGGAGGAACACCCGUGGCGAAGGCGGCCAUCUGGACCAGUACUGACGCUGAGGCACGAAAGCGUGGGGAGCAAACAGG
Molecule: ribosomal RNA, 253 nt
Filed under: uncultured bacterium
Lineage: Bacteria
Description: partial 16S ribosomal RNA
Rfam family: Bacterial small subunit ribosomal RNA
Source: RNAcentral